This is a long non-coding RNA of Camponotus floridanus (Florida carpenter ant), 536 nucleotides long. RefSeq lists it as uncharacterized. The transcript is spliced from 3 exons. NCBI's taxonomy places the organism in Eukaryota, Metazoa, Arthropoda, Insecta, Hymenoptera, Formicidae. The record is from RefSeq and is a predicted model, not a curated record.
UUGCAAUCCCUACCACGAAACUCUCACCCACCACAUCGCAAACUCAUAGCAGGAAGGGAUAGCUCCAGCAGCCGACCCACCAAUCAUCAAAAAGGCCCACCUCUUCUCCCUACCAUUAAACAUCGAACCAGAGGAAGGUAUAUAAGGCCGCCGCCGCCGCCGCCGGUGUCUCUCUGCGCCAUUAACUCACCUGUGUCUCAGCUCUCUCUACGCCCAUCAGAUCUCCAGCUCUCGAAGAGGAAAAACUUAGAAGCCUACCGGACACCUUAACUUAUUCGAAAAUAACUUAGUCGCGAUUUUGAUUUUUCUUUCGGGACUUAGUCUCAAUCUCUAUGAAGAGAGCUGUAUCAACAUUAACACUUUAAUAAAGUGCUACCAUCCAGCAACCUCUGAGUCUUUGGCCAUUCUCUGCGCUGCCUUGCCACUUCUUCAGGUUCUCACCGAGGUCGAGCAAUCCAGGGAAGGAGCAGCGGUGCCUUUAUUCUUCCAUUGAUCCCGUCAUCCGGUACCUUUCUACGCAUCAUCAUGGUUAACCC